RNAcentral lists this ribosomal RNA (499 nucleotides) under uncultured bacterium. RNAcentral's name for it is "bacterial SSU rRNA". It matches the Rfam family "Bacterial small subunit ribosomal RNA", at positions 791 to 1286 of the family's 1533-position model. The record is from RNAcentral.
UAGUCCACGCCCUAAACGAUGAACGCUAGUCGUUGUGAGGCUUUGACCUUGCAGUGACGCAGCUAACGCAUUAAGCAUUCCGCCUGGGGAGUACGGUCGCAAGAUUAAAACUCAAAGGAAUAGACGGGGACCCGCACAAGCGGUGGAGCAUGUGGUUUAAUUCGAAGAUACGCGAAGAACCUUACCUGGCCUUGACAUUGAUAGAAUCCGCUAGAGAUAGUGGAGUGCUGGUUUACCAGAGCUUGAAAACAGGUGCUGCACGGCUGUCGUCAGCUCGCGUCGUGAGAUGUUGGGUUAAGUCCCGCAACGAGCGCAACCCUUAUCCUUAGUUACUAACGGUUCGGCCGAGGACUCUAAGGAGACUGCCCUCGCAAGGGGGAGGAAGGUGAGGACGACGUCAAGUCAUCAUGGCCCUUACGGCCAGGGCCACACACGUGCUACAAUGGGAUGUUACAAUGAGACGCAAAGGCGCGAGCCCUAGCAAAACUAUAAAGCAUCU